Molecule: non-coding RNA, 4665 nt
Organism: Cucurbita pepo subsp. pepo (vegetable marrow)
Lineage: Eukaryota; Viridiplantae; Streptophyta; Magnoliopsida; Cucurbitales; Cucurbitaceae
Source: RefSeq, a predicted model, not a curated record
AUGUACUUAGAGGCCCAACCAUCGACAUUCGCCUCAUCACAAUCGCUCUCUCCGUGAAUCACAUUCGAAGAAGAAGAAGAAGAAGAAGAAGGCGAAUACCUUGGCGAUCCAUGGCUGAUUUGGAAGCUGCCUCCGCCCGGCUUCGUCACGUAGAUCGGUUUCGCUCGGUUCUGCGGCUCCUGCAGCCGUCUACUUCCCGGAAUCAGAGGCGUCGCCGCUGAAUUUCCGCCAGAUCUCUCUCUCGUCGCCGAAGUUCCAGCGGUUGUUUCAUUCGCCGUAUUAGCAAAAGAAAUCGAGCUCGAAAGCUUGAUUAAAUUCGCAAGCAACAACAUCGACUUCUCACAAAGCGAUUCACUCGAUCUUCUCUCUUUACCGAUCAUAGCUCCGGCCCUCUAAAUGAUCUCAUAUUCACCGGAGCAGACCAACGCACUCUCGAAUCUCUCCCUCAGAGCACCCAUCCCAUCGACGGUAUCCCUCUUCGGCCAGGUGAUGAUUUUUUUUCUCUCAAAUUUUAUGUGAUGUCACCUUGGUUGAAGAGGAGAACAAACCACCCUUUAUAAGGGUGUGGAAACCUUCCUCUAAUUUUAAAGCCGCGAGGGGAAUUCCGAAUAGAAAAGCCCAAACAGGACAAUAUUUGUUAGAAUCUGGGGCAUUACAUUUUAAAAUAAAUAAUUUUAUGAACAAAAAGUGACAGACUAGGUAUUAUAUUUAUAGUUUUAGCGACCUUUAUAUAUUUGUGUUAUUUAUAUAUUAGAAUACGAGAUGAGUACAAGAAUUACACAAUCUACUAUGAUUAAUUUUUAAUUAAGUUUAAUAACCCAUAGUAUACAUGUCAUGUUUGGAAUGAUAUCUUAGAUAUAUGAUCUUAUUCAAAAUUUAAAAAUCCCAUAUGAAAAGAGAGGAGAGGCAAAUGGGAAAAUGGUCAAAAUUGUAAAUUGGAGCAAAUUGAGAUGCUAUGAUGUUCCCCCGUUGGUUGGGAAGGGGAGGAAUGACCGUUGUUAUUUCAGGUAAUUGGUCAUCAAAGACAACCUGAAUUGCCUCCUAAAAUGUCGCAAAUAUAAAUCCUAAGAAGGCUCAACCCCCUAACUUAGCUCAUAACCUCUUGGUUUGUCGCCUCUCUCUGGGAACACAGACACUCCCCCAAAAGAAAAACAGAGAGAGAAAUAGAGAGAGAGUAGAAAGAGGAGAGGGGAAGGAAAAAAAAAAAAAAGAAGAAAGAAAACAAGGAAAAAAAAGGUCAUGAUCUAGGUCUGGUCCAUCCCACCAAGGUCAUGAUCUUUUCAUCUUCAUAGAACAAUUACAGACAGGAUUUUGAAAUCCAAAACAGGGGGUUGGGUUAGAUUUUUUAAUUUUUUAUUCUUUUGCAAGAGAAAGUAGGGAAAAAGGGAAAAAGGAACAAUGGCGACGAAACGUUCUUUCACUCGUUUUGUAGAACAGGAGUUGGGAAAGUUCCCACAUUUCGUAGUUUGUGCAGUCCUUGAAUGGGUUCUCAUAAUUUUGCUUUUCAUUGAUGGGUUUGUUGCAUUUUUGGCAAGCGAAUUCGCCAAGUUCUUUGAAUUGCGAGUUCCUUGUUUGUUCUGCACCAGAAUCGACCAUGUUUUUGUUAACAAAAAUGCAGAUUUCUACUACAACAAUGCCAUUUGUGAAAGCCACAAGAAGGAUGUUUCAUCUCUUGCAUAUUGCCACAACCACAAGAAACUCUCUGACAUUCGGAAGAUGUGUGAGGUCUGUCUUCUCUCAUUCGCAACCGAGAAGGAAUCCGAUUGCAAUACCUACAAGUCGCUCGUUGGAAUAUUGCACAAGGAUCUUGAAUGUUUUGUGGAGGACGAUAAUUGUCAAGUUGUGAGCUUGCCGCCCGUGGGGAAGAAAGAUGAAGGCCUGCAAAUGGAGAAAGUGGGUGGUGGUGGUGAUGAUUGUUGUUGUUCAUGUUGUGGGGAGUCAUUGAAGGUUAAAUCCUCCAAUUCAAAAGGGAAAAAUGGGAGUACCUUUUCACAAGCUCCUGCUCCUUCGCCACGAGCUGGGUUUGUGCCUGCUUUCAGAAACGAGGACAAAACUAGCUUGGAAUUGCCCCACGUUAAUUAUACCGAACUCAAAUUGUUGUCAGAUAGUGAAUCGGAGUUCGUCGAAGACGAUGAAGGUUUACAUGGAAGAAAUCUUGACGCUCAUCAAUUUAAGGAGGAUGUGAAACCUGUUAAAGUGCCAUUGUUACCUGAACCUGAGGAUGUGCAUGAAAGUUCGAGGACCCCCAUCUUUGGUAGAGGAAACAAAUUUUUUGGUAUCCCACUUACGGAUUCUGAUAAUACCAGUCCCAGAUGGGCUAUUAGGAUCUCUAGAAAAUCACCACUUGAAAGACCAGAGCUCCCAGCUGAGAAUUAUGAAGCAGAUAUGUUGGGGCCAGGAGACAAUGAUUCCAUUUUGAAUUGCUUGAAAAGACAAGUUCGGAUAGAUCGAAAAUCGCUCAUGGAGUUGUACAUGGAACUGGACGAAGAAAGAAGCGCUUCAGCCGUGGCAGCAAACAAUGCAAUGGCCAUGAUUACUCGCUUACAAGCCGAAAAGGCGGCCGUUCAGAUGGAAGCUUUGCAGUACCAAAGAAUGAUGGAAGAACAGGAAGAGUAUGACCAGGAAGCCUUACAAGCUACAAACGAUUUGCUUGCUAAGAGAGAGGAAGAAAUCAGGGACUUGGAGGUUGAACUUGAAGCUUACAGAGAAAAAUAUGGAUACCUUGAGGAAGGUUGUCUUCAGAUGUCUGAAGGAGAGAUGUCUGAUGAAGAUUACCAAGAAUUCAAGUCACAAGUCUAUUUAUCUUCUGAUGAGAAAUCUGAAUGUAAUACACCUUUUAGUCUCAAUGGAAGAGAGAACAAGGAAAAUUUUAAGAAUUUUGACAGGACGAUUAUACCCUCCGGGUUGAAAAUUGAAAGAGAAAAUAGCAAAGAAGAAAGUACAAACAAUCAUGGGGUAGCCUUGCCAUUCUCCCAAGAGGAGGCUGAAGGAGAAGAUAGCAAAGAAGAAAGUACAAACAAUCAUGAGGUAGCCCUGCCAUUCUCCCAAGGGAAGUCUGAAGGAGAAGAUAGCAAAGAAGAAAGUAUAAACAAUCAUGGGGUAACCCUGCCAUUCUCCCAAGGGAAGGCUGAAGGAGAAGAUAGCAAAGAAGAAAGUACAAACAAUCAUGGGGUACAAGGAGAAGAUAGCAAAGAAGAAGGUACAAACAAUCAUGGGGUAGCCCUGACAUUCUCCCAAGGGGAGGCUGAAGGAGAAGAUAGCAAAGAAGAAAGUACAAUCAAUCAUGGGGUGGCCCUGCCAUUCUCCCAAGGGAAGGCUGAAGGAGAAGAUAGCAAAGAAGAAAGUACAAACAAUCAUGGGGUAGCCUUGCCAUCCCAAGGGAAGGCUGAAGGAGAAGAUAGCAAAGAAGAAAGUACAAACAAUCAUGGGGUAGCUUUGCCAUCCAAAGGGAAGGCUGAAGGAGAAGAUAGCAAAGAAGAAAGUACAAACAAUCAUGGGGUAGCUUUGUCAUCCAAAGGGAAGGCUGAAGGAGAAGAUAGCAAAGAAGAAAGUACAAACAAUCAUGGGGUAGCCCUGCCAUUCUCCCAAGGGAAGGCUGAAGGAGAAGAUAGCAAAGAAGAAAGUACAAACAAUCAUGGGGUAGCUCUGCCAUUCUCCCAGGGGAAGGCUGAAGGAGAAGAUAGCAAAGAGGUUAGUACAAACAAUCAUGGGGUAGCCUUGCCAUUCUCCCGAGGGAAGGCUGAAGGAGAAGACCAAAAUGAACCACUGACAAACUUUAAAGGAGAAAAAACAUAUCUUUUAGGCCGCUUGAAAAGGUCAAAGAAGAACAUUAACUCCUUAUCCUCAGAGGAUCUAGCUUCGUCCCUGCAACCAAGAUCUGCCAGUGUCAACCGAGUAGAUGAAGCCACAGGAAAAGGAAGAGCUCUGACCCGAAAGCUCUCUCAUCUUAACGAGUUCAAGAUCAUGAGAGUACUCAAAGCAGACAACGAAAUCUCCAAGCAUGAAGGAAAAGUAUCUUUAGCCGAGACUUCUCACAAUUUAGGGAAACCUCAAAACCUUGUCGACCAGAAUAACAGUGAUUCUUAACUUCCCAUAUUGUUUGUUUUAUUUCUAGGAUGUACAUAGUGUUGUAUGACGCGCUGAAUAUAGAUAUAAAGCUCCUUGAAGCUCAGCAGCUGCUAACUUCUUCCAUAGCAAUGCAGAGCUAAAAACCAUAUUCGGCUGCCAGCGAUGGGUGUAGAAGGCUUUCCUUUUUCUUUUCUAUUACUUUACUAUUCAGCAGCAGAGUGGAAAUGGUGUUCAAGAAAGUGCUUUUGGAUUUACACAUCAAAAGCCACAGAACAAGGGAAAGAAAAAAGGCCAAUAUUCCUUCUUUUUGAGGGCAUAGUUGGACUAAUGAUAGAACCUCAAGGGAAAACCAGAAAAGGCAAGGCGUUCGGGCUUCCAUCCCAUUUACAACGAGACAAAUGUUAGCGUUGUAUGAUACAAGAAGAGUUCUUUAAAGUCAUAAUCAUCCCCUCCCCCUUAAAUGUCUUUUCGAGUUUACUAAAAUGACAGCAAUAUGCAAGGAAUUUUGAUUGGUUUCAUCCCAUUUACUACUUCAAAACUUGGAGAGGGAAGACGCCAGUCCUUUUUAAACGCAAAGAGAUAUCUUUUUCUUUGUCA